CAACUUUGGAAGUCAGGAAGCCAGCACGUUGGGGGAUGCGGUAUCACAAUUUCUUGGUGAGACAAGCUGUCCUGGUAGCUUGUCCUCUCCCAUCAGGUAGGAGAGGUUAAAGAACAGGCAGGCUCCCCGUCUGCAUGGCGGAACAGCUCUGAAGGCAUGGAGGAGCGAGGCUGAAGGUGGGGGCCUUCGCCCAUCAUGCCGGAAGCUGAAAUUUCUUGUUACCUGCAAGUGAUCGCAGGGCUGCAGGACUACAAUCCCAGCGUGCACAGGGAUCAGGGACUGUGCGCAUCACUGGAGGAAGGGGCAGAGCUGCGCGCGCCUGGCUGAGCAUGCUAGGACAUGUAAUCUCAUGGCCAGUCCCAGCCCUUCGGCCACAAGGCUGCAGGACUACAAUCCCAGCCUGUACCAGGCUCGGGGGCGGUUCGCAACCCCAGAGGAAGGGGCAGGGCGGUGCGCGCCGCGCCUGGUAUGCUGGGAGUUGUAGUCUCUUUACUGCUCUCAGCCCAUGGGUAGGUAGCUUCAGAACUACAAUCCCAGUAUGCAUCGGGGUGGUGCGUAACCCUGGAGGGAGGGGCAGACACUUAACCUGUGUCUAAAGCACUGCUGGCCGCCGAUUCUACGCCGCCCGGUCGCCAGGGAGAGUGAAUACAGCUAGGGACGUGAAAGAACGGGGAAGAUAACCGAAGGGUGGUUUGAGAAACCCACCAGGCCAACUGGGAAUUAGAAUUGAUUCAAAACUCCAUUGAUCGCCUGACCUCCAUAAGCUCCUACUCUGCUGCAGUUGAGUGCUGCCACUUAAAUCCUGCAGUCCCGAGAUCCGGUUAUAACCAAUGCAUUUAGAUUUUUCAUUUCGGUGGCAACAAUCUUCAUUGUAAGUUCUGUCCUACAGAGAAGUGUGGUGAUCAAGCUCUUUGGAGAUACUGGGACUCCUCUCACAAAUGUAUGUCUCACAGUUAUGAUGAAUGGUGUAUCUCCUGGAUCUUCCUCAAUGCUUCUUAGAGACAAGGCCUCACUCCAUUGCCCCUAGGCCAGGCCUGGUGAGUGACAGCAGCCCUGGUGCCCCAGCCUGCUAGGGCAAUGUGUCACCCAGAGGCUUCAAGGCCCUUCUCACCAUGGUACCCACCUCCUCGAAGCUGCCUCCCAAAGCCCUCUAGCUGCUGCUGCAGCCACAACAAGUGCCACCACCAGGGGCCUUCCAGCUGCCAGUGCAGGCUUUCCAGAGCCGGGGACUGGGGAACCUGCAGUCAUCACCUCAGCAAUUCUGGUGGCAGCCAGGCCAGCCAGGGCAGCGAUGAUGACCGUAAUGAAAAGUGGGAUGACAGCUCCACACUGGUGGAUGAGUUGAGAACACCAGGCAGAGGCAUGUACCUGGUCUUUGAUGGUUCAGUGGACCUGCACUACCAUUGCAGUGCAAAGUGCAAGAGUUGAAGCUUGGAAACCUUCACCUAGAUUUAGGAAGAUUCAUGGAAAAGUCUGGAUGUCCACGCAGAAGCCUGCUGCACGAGUGGAACCCUCAUGGAGAAUCUCUACCAGGGCAGUGUGGAGGGGAAAUGUGGGGUUGGAGCCCCCACACAGAGUCCCACUGGAGGACUUCCUAGUGGAGCUAUGAGAAGAGAACCACUGUCCUCCUGACAUCAUAAUGGUAGAUCCACUGGCAGCUUGCACUCUCAGCCUGAAAAAGCUACAAGUACUCAAGGCCAGCCCUUGAGAGCAUCUACAGGUGCUAAACCCUGG
RNAcentral lists this long non-coding RNA (1734 nucleotides) under Homo sapiens (human). Its description in RNAcentral is "non-protein coding LINC00663:3". Lineage: Eukaryota; Metazoa; Chordata; Mammalia; Primates; Hominidae. The record is from RNAcentral.